This is a long non-coding RNA of Salvelinus fontinalis (brook trout), 8988 nucleotides long. RefSeq lists it as uncharacterized. The transcript has 4 exons. Lineage: Eukaryota; Metazoa; Chordata; Actinopteri; Salmoniformes; Salmonidae. The record is from RefSeq and is a predicted model, not a curated record.
UCAGCCAGCCAUGAGCAGCCAGAUCCGUCAGCCAGCCAUGAGCAGCCAGAUCCGUCAGCCAGCCAUGAGCAGCCAGAUCCGUCAGUUAGCCAUGAGCAGCCAGAUCCGUCAGUUAGCCAUGAGCAGCCAGAUCCGUCAGUUAGCCAUGAGCAGCCAGAUCCGUCAGCUAGCCAUGAGCAGCCAGAUCCGUCAGCCAGCCAUGAGCAGCCAGAUCCGUCAGCCAGCCAUGAGCAGCCAGAUCCGUCAGCCAGCCAUGAGCAGCCAGAUCCGUCAGCUAGCCAUGAGCAGCCAGAUCUGUCAGCCAGCCAUGGGCCGUCCCUCAGUCCGGAGCUGCAGUCCCUCAGUCCGAAGCUGCAGUCCCUCAGUCCGGAGCUGCCGUUCCUCAGUCCGGAGCUGCCGUUCCUCAGUCCGGAGCUGCCCCUUAUCCUGGUGCUGCCCCUUAUCCUGGUGCUGCCCCUUAUCCUGGUGCUCUCCCUUAUCCUGGUACUGCCCCUUAGUCCGGAGCUGCCCCUUAGUCCGGAGCUGCCCCUUAGUCCGGAGCUGCCCCUUAUUCCGGAGCUGCCCCUUAGUCCGGAACUGCCCCUUAAUUCAGUGGGGUUAAUGUGGAGGGGGGUCAUUUGGAGGCAGCUACGGAGGCGGUUAGUGACUGUGGUGGGGUGGGGACCACGACCAGUGCCGGAGCCGCCACCGUGGAAGGAAGCCCACCCAGACCCUCCCCUAGACUGUGUGCUGGUGCGCUCGGAGUUCGCACCUUAAGGGGGGGGUUAUGUCACGCCCUGGCCUUAGUAUUCUUUGUUUUCUUUAUUAUUUUAGUUAGGUCAGGGUGUGACAUGGGGAUUGUUUGUGUUUUGUCGGUUUUGGGUGAUUAUAUGGUAAAGGGGGUGUUGGGUGUAGUGUAUGGGUUUGUGUUGAGUGCAUGUGUCUAGCUGUGUCUAUGUUGGUUUAGUUGUCUAGGAGAGUCUAUGGUUGCCUGAAUGAGUUCCCAAUUAGAGACAGCUGAUUUCUGUUGUCUCUGAUUGGGAGCCAUAUUUAGGGUAGCCAUAGGCUUUCAUUUGAUUGUGGGUAAUUGUCUAUGUUAUACGUUUGUAGCCUGUGUAUGCACUACGUUUGAUUAGCGUCACGAUCGUUUAUUGUUUUGUUUAGUGUGUAAGUGUUUUUGUUUCGUUUUGCCUUCGUCAUCAAUAAAAGAGAUGGCGUAUUUUCCAAAUGCUGCGUUUUGGUCCGUCAAUCCUCCACACGAUCGUGACACUUGCCCUGCAAGUGUAUACUCGUCAGACGUCAUCAGAAGUGUAUAUCGACAGAACACACCUUCCACGUUGUGCAUUAUUUUCCAGGGAAAAUCCCUUACAUAAGAACAAUUAGUUAUUUAUUGAAUAUUUAACAAAUACUAUUCCUUGCGAUGAAAUAUGUAUUAAACGAAUAGUGAUGUGAUAGUGAUGGUUUAACUUGGUGUUUGUCUCCACAGCUCUCCAUAAGGAGCCCUACAUUAUGUUCUCCACAGAGAAUAAGUCUAUUAUCUGCAUGAAGUGUUUCAGAGACAUACAAGUGUGAGGGAAGCUCCUACUACAGCAACACAAGAUUCACACAGGAGGAACACUGUUAGUAAAGCUCAUUUAUGUUUCUGCCAAAUUAUUGCUUCGAUUUGAAAUUUCACAGGGAGAGCCUGACAUACUGCAUUAACAUUGCAACAGAAUGCAUACAACCCAGCUAGCACUUUCUGAGAACCAUAUGUUUCUUAGAGCUUGGUGAGAGCGUGGUUAUCCUAUGGUUGUUUUGCAUACAACCUUCCCAUAACAUUCUGGGAAUGGUGCAAGAUAGUUGCUUGGCUUUUGGAACAUUCUCAGCACAUUUAAGGAACUUGACAAAGAAACAUAAUUUUCUUGGUAUUUCAUUACUUUAAACUGAACGUUUCCUAAAAGUUCAAACAUGGUUACAUUUCUUUUCAAACAUUCUCCAAGUGGUUUGGCAUUGGGAAUGUUCUGAAAUAGUUCAGAGAACAUUAAGAAACAACGUUCUUCUUUGGGAAUUGUAGUACUUCAGCAUAACGUUUCCUACAGUUUUCCUCAUGGUUCUAUUUAAAAUAAUGUUCUCAAAUUGUUCCAAGAAUGUUAAGAAACAACAUUCUUCUGUGGGAAUUUCAGUACUUCGCAUAACGUUUUCUACAGGUUUCCUCAUGGUUGUAUUCAAAGUCUUGUUCUCAAAUUGUGCCAAGAACGUUAAAUAAACUUUCCAGAAAACCACAAGAAAACUUUAGUAACAUUCAGAGAAUGUUCUAAGAAUGUUAUUUAAAAACUUAAACAUUCUGUUCUCAGCAUCAACAAAACUCUCUAUCCUCUAUCUUGUUCAGUGUGUUCAGGAGUGUUGGCAACGCCCACUAAUUGGCCACACCUGAGGUUAAGGAGUCCUUGUUUCCUUUGAAAUGGGGUCUGUUUGAAUCGACUAAACUGAACAGCUUUGUAUGCGUAAAAACAAACAUGGUAUGCUAGCUCCAUCUUGGUGGUGCAAUGGACUAAUUCCAUGGAUAGAGAAUAGAAGAUUAUAGGUUUGAAUCUCACUGAUGCCGUGUCACAAUAAAAAAUAAAUGUGUUUGCUUGAUUAAUGCCUAAGGAAAUUAAUUUCCAUGUGUCCUAUCUCUGCUUGGAGUAAAAAAAAAAAGUUUCCCAAAAUAAGAUAGCAGUGUUAUUAAAGUCUUAUUGAAACAUUCAGUGAAAGUUUUAAGGACGUUAUUUAAAAAAACCUCAAUAACCUAUAAUUUCCAUUCUCAGAGCGUUAAUUAAACCUCCCAGAAGGAACCAGAGUAAAUAAAAAAUCCCAGAAGGAACCCGAGUAAAACGUUCUCAGAAUUUCAAUGCAACCUAAAAAUAGAACAGGCGAAAUGUUCACUUCCGUUCUCAGAAUGUUUAAAAAACAUUCAAUUUUACCGGUCUGGAAACUUAUGACUUUGUUCCCAGAAACAAUGGGAAACAUUACAUUUAAGUCAUUUCGCUGACGCUCUUAUCCAGAGCGACUUACAUUUUACCUUUUUUUUUAAAAAAUUAUUUAACUAGGCAAGUCAGUUAAGAACAAACUCUUAUUUUCAAUGACGGCCUAGGAACAGUGGGUUAACUGCCUUGUUCAGGGGCAGAACGACAGAUUUGUACCUUGUCAGCUCGGGGAUUUGAACUUGCAACCUUUCGGUUACUAGCCCAACGCUCUAACCACUAGGCUACCCUGCCGCCCCAAACCAAAAAUGUAUGUUCCCACAACUUCCAAGGAACCAAAUGUUCUAGCUGGGAAGGAUGUGAGAUACUAGAGCAGGCAGUGCUGGUGAGUGGAUUUACUUUUAUUCUCUUCAUACAUUGUGUAUUAUAACAUUGAUGGUUCGCAGUCACUCCCUCUGAAAAUCCAUGUUUUAUCUGUAUAGUCCUCAACUCCAUGGCCUAUGUAGUAACUCUGAAUUGUUUCCAUGCUGUAUUUUACAUGCCAUAGUAUUGGAUCCUUAUGUUGUUUUUGAAAAGCAACAGGCUGGGUCUUGGGUUUGAGAUAAAGCAUAUGAUCAUGUGUGUUUGGUUUAGCUACAGGUUAGUUCCAGGUGAAUGAGCAUAUCUACCAUGUCCAUGUGUGAGCCUUGCUUCCUCUGUAGGCAGUGAAGGAGCUGCAGACAUUGGCCCGUGAAGCUAUUAUGCUGAGGGUCAUGAUAGGGGAGGUGUGCUCCAAUAUCGAGGAAGAGGAGAAUGCAAUAUGUGACCUCUUCAACAGUAUACAGGUAAAACUUCACUAAAGGACUCUUUUCAGGUCACCUGAAAGAAAAACAGAUGCUAUUGAUAAUGUUGUUAUUGAGAUACGAAUGUAUUAAAUGAACAUUGUGAAAUGUAACUAUCUAAGUGCAAGACAAUAAAUAUAAUUCCAAAUUUAAAUAUGUGAUGAUGGUGCCUGACCACUGGGUGUCUCUCUUGCUCUCUUUGUGAAAAGAUUGAAAGGUCUUCUGCACUCAACAAAAACUUUAUCAAUGGAGUUAAACCAAACACUUACUGGUACAAUUACAAGACAAUGUGUACCACAAAAUUACUUUUUAGAGAGAACUCACUACAAGUUAAAUCCCCAGACAGUUAUUUGCUCAAAUGGAGGGUUGCAGACAAGGACCACAGUCUUUUUCACGGUAGGCCUACUACUAGCAGACAACGUCAUAGCCCACAGCCAUUUUACAUUUUAGUUAUUUAGCAGACACUGUUAUCCAGAGCGACUUACAGUAGUGAGUGUAUACAUUUUCAUAUUUGUUCCCACUGGUCCCCUUUGGGAAUCAAGCCCACACUCUGGCAUUGCAAAUGCCUGCUCUACCAACUGAGCCACAUUUUUCUUGUGGUUAACUGUUUCUCUGCUCUCAUCUGUCAGGAAAGAGAGGAAGAAAAUUCUGUUGCGAGCGGCUCACAGGUACUGCAUUACUUUGCUUUGAAACGGUUGCUUUGAUGCCAUAAAGACAAUGGAUAGGCAAUCUGUUAGGAAUGGAUUGAAGUUUGUAAUUUCCCCAAGAUCAAAGUGUCUUACAUUGUACAGGGUUAACAAACCUAAUUUACCACUAAGAAAGUACUGCAGCCAUUUUAUGCCAGAACCCUGGUGUAGGCUAGUUUACAUUUGGCCCCAUGAGAGAGACUUUACAGUACACAGUUAAAACAAGAAUGGCAAGGCAAACAGAGUGAAGACUGCUUCAAACAAUACUCAUCGUUCCACUGUUGCAGUUCGUGGUUACAUGAAAAAUGUGUGUAGAUAACCUCUGAAGUGUUGAUAUUCUCUGGGAGCAGUCCAUCACAGCUAGUGGAGCAGGAAGCUACAGCCUGGGGCCAAUGGACGGCAGCAUUACUGUCUCUGGAGUGUGUGAGGGAGAAAGUGUAUCAGAUUGCAUUGUGUAGAGAUUUUUAAUGAGAUUUUUGUGCCCUUGUGUCCUCCAUCUUUCUUGCCCCGCUGCCUGGAAGCAGACCAGUGACUGUCUGGAUUCCCAGAAGGGAGUUAGAGGCUAUUUAUGGCAGGCUGUGUGUUUCCGUCUGUGUGUCUGUCUGUGUGUAUGUGUUUGUAAUGGGAAGCAGACUAUAGAUAAGGACCUGGAUAUAUAGAGCAUGAGUUUCUGUGUUGUUGUGUGGGUAUUUCUUAACCCUCUGCAUCGAGGGGAUAGUUGUGUAGUGGUAAUGUUGUGUGUGUGUUUGCAGCCAACAUGAAGAAAAGGAAAAGGCGCUAAAGGAGUGCAGAUAUCACACCUUGCUGUCCUCCUGCCAACCCUGCAGGUUAGGUCAUAAGACACCCCUAACUCAUAUCUCCAUAUCUCUAACUAAUUGCUGAACUCACAUGGAACUAAAUUAUACCCAUAAAUAAAAUUGACAAUGGGGAUAUAUUGUUAGUUAUUACCUGAACAGUUAAUUAUUCAGCAGCCCUCCAGUGUGGUUGACCGCUGACCCUCACUGAUGCCCUCUCCAAGGUUCAUUCAGCCUUCCUCAGCUCAGCCAACAAGUUUGAGUGUCUGGACAUGGGAUAUAAACUGAGGCUGAGGAGGAUUGUGAAGCUCCCUCAUUGAAUGUGACCAGUGCAAAGCAGCAAAAUUAACACAGACUACAGGGGUGAAUUUGCUCGCUGUCUGGAGCCCUUACUGCUGCUGGGACAGCGCCGCCCAGCCUCCAUCACCGGGGCAACUAGUAUCGCAGCUCUAUCCUCAAGACUGAGAUCUAGAACAUGAUAGACCAGGUACAGGAGCUACACAGGGACCUGACCAAGCGCCACUCCCUCAUCAAUACAGACAUCAUGGGGGAGAUACUGGACCGCUCCCUGCACAUCGACAGAAAGAUCAAUCAAAUGUAAAAAAAAAAAAAAAGCUUUAAAACCCAGGUUGAAGGGACCACCCUCACCACCCCAACGGCAGCAAAGUGCUUAGGCAAAGACACCUGGAUCCACGCAUCCCACUGUAAGCAAGUAGCAGAGCCAGAAGAAGAUGCUACUCCUGUUACUCCUACAAUCCAGUAGGAGCACUCUGCUUACCCUGGGACUCGCAGAUAUUGUGGCUGUGGGCAUCCUCUGGGUGGUAGCAGACUUCGAGCCAGAGGCGGGAGAACGUGCUAGUAACCUCUCCCCGACCUCUUCAGUCCAACGAGACUGUGGAAGCUGUGGAAGAAGUAGAUGACCCUGCUGACCUGAACCUGGAUCCUGGUGACCCCGCUGAGCUGAAGAGUAGAAAGAGGCCAUAAACAUUAUGGGGUUUCCCCCGGGUCAAACACUUUCUUACAAGUAGCUAAUAAUGUUUCUGUGCUACAGAAUGAAUCAGAUUGUUGGGUUUGUGGACUGUUGACAGACAGUGCUGAGACUAUGCCAUUGCUAGCUAUACCCCUUAAUGCUUAUGUAAUAUUGAUGUGGACCAAAGCAGGUAACCUUUCAGACUGAGAGCUUGAUUGGUUGGAGGAUGAGGUGUUUUUAUAUGAGAAGAUUUGAUUUUAUUAAUCACACCUCUCUGCCCGAGCAACCCAUCACCCUGGCAUACUCUCCCCCAGGUUAUUUGGGUUAUAUAGAAAAUGGAACUGGUCCCCAGUUGGGGGAAAGUCAUUGUAAAUGUAACCUUUCUGUAUACAAUAACCUUACCCUACCCUUACUGUUGAGAAAUGGAACAUUCCACCCUAACAUGUCAUUGAGAAUACAUUAUAGACUCAAGAAUGUCAGUGUGUAUGCUAAACCUACUUCGUCAGUAAGUGGAACUAUGUAUGUGUGUGGGGGAAAGCCUACUCUUAUCUGCUUACAAACUGGUCAGGAUGAUGCAAUGCUGCCUAUGUUGUUCCUGCUGUGCGUGCUACCCCAGUACCCACAAAUCACAAUUUCUCCCACUUGUAUAAGAGGACCAUUGUAGCCGGCCCUACAAAACAUUUUUUCUCUGCAUUAAUUCCCAAUUAUGGCAUGACAACUGUGCUUCAUUCAAUUAGAGAUCUAGCAAAUGAAGUUGAAAGAAGAGCUAAUGCUACUGCUAUUGAAUAAUUAACUGCUGAGCUUGUGGCUAUGCGUACUAUGGUCUUACAGAAUAGAUUGGCUUUGGUUUCGGUACGGUGGUGGGUCAAGAGUGUUAUGUCUGUUCUCAUGCCUGACGACCUUGGUGAGGAGAUUGUGUGAAACAGCAGUAUCUCCUCCCCACCAGAUGGUCAUGACCACAGAAGUUAACUUAACACAUAUUGCCACUGUUUCACCCUUUCUUGGGGUUCCAGAUUGCUCUAUUGGAAACGACCCAGAUCCCUAUGAACCUUCCUUUUCGCCAGAUAGUUAUUAUAAAGUUACCUUUCAGGAGUUCCAUUCAGACCACCCCUUUCUGUGUAAAAUGACAAUUUCCCAGAAACCAGAAGGUUUUAAGUUCUGUUUGACAACAGCUCAGAUAUAUCACAUAUCCAUGGCAUCAAAGGGGUAAUUGCUGUGGCAGAAGUGGAGAGAGCUGGCGUUAUGUCUUUGUUCUCUAUUCUGUGUUAGACUGUGAUGUUAUGCAUUUCAUAGACUCCUGUUAUCACUGCACCCUAACAGAAGGCCAUUGUGUUCUGGAACUGUUGCUUGUAUAAAAUAACUGUUGUGUAAACAAUAUGAUUGUAUAUAUAGCAAUGUGAUAGAUAUAAGGGACAUGUAACCAUUUACUCUUCGAGCUCUCUGACUGCGAUCAGAGACGGAUCUACCUUACAGCUGCCCGUAUAUAUUAAAGAUUCACUAAUAUAAUUAUAAAUUAGUCUCUGCAUAAUCUUUGGAUUGAGUUUUCUACAACAGCUUCCAUCAAGACCAUCGACUACCAUUGGCCAGGAAUGCAGACAGCCAGCCACAAUGAGAUGCCAGCAUAUUAGACUGCCCCCUCCUGUGUGGUCCCCAGCUCUGUGCCUAAAUAGGCCCCUGGCCCCCACACACAACAGGGCAGAGACAGCAUGUGAUCUCUUCUUCUGUUCAUAUAGCCGCUCCUGACAUUUAAUGGUGACAUUUCCUGGCAUAGAGGAGUUGUCAUCCCUUAGACAAACAGGUCUCAGAGGACUGCAGUAACACUGACACGCACUGGACUCAAUGACUCACUAACUAGAGUAAAUGGACAAACUGAGAGGGGGGUGAAUCCCCUCCGAUCUCACUCCUCAACAUGAAAAGAUCAAUCUGAAGGACUCACCUCUCAUUAUGGACUGAAUGGAUGAAGGAUCUGGAGUUUUAUGCUGAGGAAGUGACUGACUACCAUUUCUCAAUCAUCAAUGCAUGGUUCAGACCUACAAUAGCAUACAGCGGAAGAGUACUUCCUUAGUCUAUAUUACUGAAAUUGUAAUAUGCUGUUAUGCUGUGAGUUAUCCUGAAUGGACAAGUCUGUCUGAUUGUAUGGUUCUAAAACCAAUUGUUGUAUUUGUAUCAUAUGAUCACUAGUUGUCAUAUACAUUACAUAAGGGAAUGUACCUAUCUGGUUAUGCUGGUCCUCAUUCUCAGGAGGUCAUAGAUAGUUCUGGUGUGACACCAACAAAUAGAACAGUCCAAAUGUAAAGUGCAGUCAUCUGUAUAAUGCAUUAAUGUGCAUGUAACCUGUGCAUUAAUCAUGGUGAAAUGAGAUGAGUAUUGACAGGUUUCCUUAAUUUACCCAAGAAUAAGUGGUAAAUUGGUGAAAUGUAUGUAAGGCACAGGCAGGCAUCCCUUCCCCCUUUCUCCUGCCACCUCUUCUCUCCCCCGGUCCCCCCUCUCUCCUUCUCUCUCCAUCCCUCCGAGGCACAGGCACAGCCUAGUAAAUGUAUUCAUUCGUGUUCCUCCCUGUCCUCUCCUCCAGCACAUUAAUAAAGUGUCAGCAGCAUGCUCCAGGGUUUUCCACCACCAGGAAAUCAGCAGGCUACUCUCUGCAUCUUUCUCUCUCUCUCUGUACCACCCUCUUUCCAUCCUUCUUUCUUAUUCUCCAUUCCCCCUGAAUCCUCCUUGUCCCUUUUCGUACCAGGUAAACAUAGAUUGCACACAAUUACAUUUUGAAUUCAAUAAAGAUUUAACUGUACAUUUCUA